Molecule: long non-coding RNA, 1251 nt
Organism: Musa acuminata AAA Group (dessert banana)
Lineage: Eukaryota; Viridiplantae; Streptophyta; Magnoliopsida; Zingiberales; Musaceae
Exons: 3
Source: RefSeq, a predicted model, not a curated record
AGUCGGAGUCAGCUUGUGGGAUCCUAAGUGGUAACUCAAGUCUAGACGUGAAAGAAGCGCUCGUGUAGACUGACGCAUAUAUCCUCCAAAACAUUGAAGGCGACGAGCGCCUCUGUGAUGAUUCCUGUCGUCGCAUCAAUUGCAUCCUAUCGCUGUUUGACAAAAUGCCAAGGCGGGAGCGGAUGGUGUAAGAGGCGGUUGAGCGUGGACUAUCAUGUCGCAUCUACAUCUGAUGCCUAAAGGUUGGUUUGUUUUUCACUCUCCUGCUGCUACGUAGCGAAAGAAGCGUUUUGUCUUCUCGAUGGCUUCAGUUAUCGCAUAAACAGCGCUCUAAAACUGCUCGACGAAAUGCCUAGCCGGGUAGGAGCUGCCUGGGAUUUGCUGAUUGAAGCAGCAGCACCUGCAGGGUAUUGGCGCAGACAUUGAACAAGGUUGGAAGAGGUCGUCGGCCUCCACGCUCAAGUUCUCAAAACGCACCUCGACCUUGGGAACUUGAAUCCCCAACUUAACCAUAAAACAUCACUUGGAGGAGGAACUCCUUGUCGUCCGCAUGGUGAAGGGGGCCUCUUGCCGUUCCAUGCUUGUGGAUCUCGUCUUCCUUCUGCCACUUCAACUUCGGGUUGUGCUACCAAGUAAGCCUUGUGUUGAUGUGCUGUUUUAGCGUGGCUCAGAUAUAUAGAGUGGAAGAGCAACGUGAGCUAGUGUAAGCCUGGUGUUGAUGUGCUGUUUUAGCGUGGCUCAGAUAUAUAGAGUAGAAGAGCAACGUGAGCUAGUAGUAGUAGCAUGGGAACGGUGUAAAGGAGUACCAGAACUGAAUCGGAAUCGAAUCAGGUCAAUAGUUCGAUGAUAUCGAAUCAGAUGAGAAGCGGGGUCAUACGGUUCGAUUCUGAUUUCUAGAAAUUAGGAUGUAAAUCGGUAUGGUAGAAUCUAAAGCUCUGAUUUCAGUUCUUAGUGGAAAGGACGCUGUUCCACACCCACUGUCUCUAUUCAUAGUCUCAACGCAGCAGUAGUUGAUUCGAUUGUUCAUCCAUGUGGGUGACAUGACACAAUUCCAAUCACGAUAGAUUUCUUGGAGCAUGGCGAAGAUUGAGAUCAGAUCUGGUUCACCAAGUCUCACAAGAAUGUUCCAUCGUGCAGUAAUCCAAAUGAACGUGGCAUGGAAAGACACGAGGGACCAACCCAGGGUAAGAACAGGAGCCUAUUACAGUCCUUUUCAAUCAAAUGAACCAUUAAUGGUUUGUUUUGUCAUCA